GAACGCUGGCGGCGUGCUUAACACAUGCAAGUCGAACGGAAAGGCCCUGCUUGCAGGGUACUCGAGUGGCGAACGGGUGAGGAACACGUGGGUGAUCUGCCCUGCACUUCGGGAUAAGCCUGGGAAACUGGGUCUAAUACCGGAUAGGAGCCAUUUUGAGUGUGAUGGUUGGAAAGUGUUUUUGGUGUAGGAUGAGCCCGCGGCCUAUCAGCUUGUUGGUGGGGUAAUGGCCUACCAAGGCGGCGACGGGUAGCCGGCCUGGGGGGGUGGACGGCCACAGUGGGGCUGAGGUGCGGCCCAGGCUCCUACGGGGGGCAGCAGUGGGGAAUAUUGCGCCAGGGGCGCCAGCCUGAUGCAGCGGCGCCGCGUGGGGGAUGACGGCCUUCGGGUUGUAAACUCCUUUCGCGAGGGACGAAGCUUUUUGUGACGGUACCUAGAUAAGAAGCACCGGCUAACUACGUG
Molecule: ribosomal RNA, 462 nt
Filed under: uncultured bacterium
Lineage: Bacteria
Description: partial 16S ribosomal RNA
Rfam family: Bacterial small subunit ribosomal RNA
Source: RNAcentral